Molecule: non-coding RNA, 334 nt
Organism: Paramuricea clavata
Lineage: Eukaryota; Metazoa; Cnidaria; Anthozoa; Malacalcyonacea; Plexauridae
Source: the annotation of a GenBank genome assembly
AUUCCCGCCAAUUUCAACUCAAAAUGGUGGUCAAAAAAUGUUUACAGAUAGAAUGGUAUUUUAGCCAAAUUUAAAGCACCUUUAGGUUGUUGUUGUGCUUUCUAGACGCCUUCAUUCCUCUGCUUUAUCCCCUGGUUUUGUUGGCCGGAAAUGCUCGGCACAGCAAUGGCUUCAAGUGCAGGUAUUUUCUUCAAUAUUCUUGCCACAUUGUAAAAUCUGUUGUUGAUAUAUGCGGGUGUGUAACAUUUAAUAAGCUUGUCUCCUGUUCUAGAUGGAUGUCUCAGCGAGAAGAGAGAUCCUUGUGCUAGCCCACCGUGUAAAAGACUUAAACAAG